This 479-nucleotide ribosomal RNA is filed under the name uncultured bacterium. Its description in RNAcentral is "bacterial SSU rRNA". It matches the Rfam family "Bacterial small subunit ribosomal RNA", at positions 28 to 531 of the family's 1533-position model. The record is from RNAcentral.
GAUGAACGCUGGCGGCGUGCCUAACACAUGCAAGUCGAGCGAUUCUCUUCGGAGAAGAGCGGCGGACGGGUGAGUAACGCGUGGGUAACCUGCCCUGUACACACGGAUAACAUACCGAAAGGUAUGCUAAUACGAGAUAAUAUACUUUUAUCGCAUGGUAGAAGUAUCAAAGCUUUUGCGGUACAGGAUGGACCCGCGUCUGAUUAGCUAGUUGGUAAGGUAACGGCUUACCAAGGCGACGAUCAGUAGCCGACCUGAGAGGGUGAUCGGCCACAUUGGAACUGAGACACGGUCCAAACUCCUACGGGAGGCAGCAGUGGGGAAUAUUGCACAAUGGGCGAAAGCCUGAUGCAGCAGCGCCGCGUGAGCGAUGAAGGCCUUCGGGUCGUAAAGCUCUGUCCUCAAGGAAGAUAAUGACGGUACUUGAGGAGGAAGCCCCGGCUAACUACGUGCCAGCAGCCGCGGUAAGAGUACUCUAU